AUGAGCGAUAGCGGCGAGCGGGAAUCCCGUUCUGCUUCCAGAAGUAGAAGUGCUCACAGAUCGGGGAAAUCUGCAAGGCAUACCCCUGCAAGGUCUCGCUCCAAGGAAGGUUCUAGGCGUUCCAGAUCAAAAUCCAGGUCCAGAUCUGAAUCUAGGUCUAAGUCCAGAAGUUCUCGAAGGCAUUGUACAAGGUCACGGUCUCGAUUUCGUUCUCACAGACAUUCCGUAACAGGUCUUACUGUCGAGAUUAUCGCAGACGCCACAGCCACAGCCAUUCCCCCAUGUCUACUCAAAGGCGUCAUGUUGGGAAUCGGGUGAAUCCCGACCCAAACUGUUGUCUUGGAGUGUUUGGGUUGAGCUUGUACACCACAGAAAGAGAUUUAAGACAAGUAUUCUCGAAAUAUGGCCCAAUUGCCGAUGUGUCUAUUGUGUAUGACCAGCAGUCUAGGCUUUCGAGGGGAUUUGCCUUUGUGUAUUUUGAAAAUGCAGACGAUGCCAAGGAAGCUAAAGAACGUGCCAACGGAAUGGAACUUGAUGGGCGUAGAAUCAGAGUGGAUUUCUCUAUAACAAAAAGACCACAUACCCCAACACCAGGAAUUUCCAUGGGGAGACCUACCUACAGCAGUUCUCGCCAUCGGGAUUACUACGACAAAGGAUAUGACCGUGGCUAAGAUGAUCGGGAUACUACGGCAGGUCAUACAGAGGAGAUGGUGGAGGAGGAGGUGGAUGGAGAGCUGCUCAAGAUAGAGAUCAGAUUUACAGAAGGCGGUCGCCUUCUCCUUAUUACAGUCGUGGAGGAUAUAGACCUCGCUCCAGAUCUCGAUCCUACUCACCUCGUCGCUAUUAAAGCAUGACGAUGAAGACUUUCUGAAAGCUGCCAUCGAGCUGGGAUGUUGUUUGUGGACAAUAUUUUUAUUGUCUGUUUAAAAAGUGAACAGUGCCUAGUGAAGUUAGGUGACU
Molecule: RNA transcript, 960 nt
Organism: Octodon degus (degu)
Lineage: Eukaryota; Metazoa; Chordata; Mammalia; Rodentia; Octodontidae
Gene name: transformer-2 protein homolog beta pseudogene
Exons: 1
Source: RefSeq, a predicted model, not a curated record